ACAAGCGGUGAGUGCUUUGGGGUGGGGUGACUGCGUACCUUUUGUAUAAUGGGUCAGCGACUUAUAUUCUGUAGCAAGGUUAACCGUAUAGGGGAGCCGCAGGGAAACCGAGUCUUAACCGGGCGUUAAGUUGCAGGGUAUAGACCCGAAACCCGGUGAUCUAGCCAUGGGCAGGUUGAAGGUUGGGUAACACUAACUGGAGGACCGAACCGACUAAUGUUGAAAAAUUAGCGGAUGACCUGUGGCUGGGGGUGAAAGGCCAAUCAAACCGGGAGAUAGCUGGUUCUCCCCGAAAGCUAUUUAGGUAGCGCCUCGUGAAUUCAUCUCCGGGGGUAGAGCACUGUUUCGGCUAGGGGGCCAUCCCGGCUUACCAACCCGAUGCAAACUGCGAAUACCGGAGAAUGUUAUCACGGGAGACACACGGCGGGUGCUAACGUCCGUCGUGAAGAGGGAAACAACCCAGACCGCCAGCUAAGGUCCCAAAGUCAUGGUUAAGUGGGAAACGAUGUGGGAAGGCCCAGACAGCCAGGAUGUUGGCUUAGAAGCAGCCAUCAUUUAAAGAAAGCGUAAUAGCUCACUGGUCGAGUCGGCCUGCGCGGAAGAUGUAACGGGGCUAAACCAU
Molecule: ribosomal RNA, 622 nt
Filed under: Salmonella enterica
Lineage: Bacteria; Pseudomonadati; Pseudomonadota; Gammaproteobacteria; Enterobacterales; Enterobacteriaceae
Description: partial 23S ribosomal RNA
Rfam family: Bacterial large subunit ribosomal RNA
Source: RNAcentral